CGCUCCCCCCCCCCAUCCCUCACGGGGGCAGGGCUGGGGGACUUUCUGUUCUGCGGAGGAACACACACGUAAAAGCAGAGCCCCCGGUCGGCCACCUGUCCGCCAGGGCGGGAUGCGGAGGAAUUGAUUUCUUGGCCCCCCUCCCGGCCCUUCCCCUGUGCGGUCUCCUUUCUGGGCCCCCUCCCCUCGGGCACUAUCCCUCUUCCCCUCUUUCUCUCCCCCGCCCCCGACCAGGAAAGUCCCGGGGGAAAUGGAGAGGCUGAAUCCGGGGCCCCAGCUGCCACCGGCCAGCACCCUCCCGUGCCAGGCCAGUCGCGUUUUAUCCAGCCGCCCCUCCGGGGUGAUUGAGGUCAGACACUGGGCAGAACUUCCCGGCCUGGAAGAAGUGUCGUCGAAGGGCUAAAGAGGCCUUCAAGAUCCCAUCAAGCUGUUAUUGAUCCUAUCGGCAGAGAAGAGGUCAAGAAGGAGAGAUGUGAGCCUGCCCAGUACGCAGAGACUUCAGAAUUCAGAGAUUGGUUGUUACUAGAGAGAUUUCAGGAGACCUUGAAUGGCAAAGCGAAAUUCCAGCCUUAUUUUCUCUUUUAAUGGAAACGUAGAAUGUCUUCAUUGAUUCAAUUAAAUAUCGAGAUUCUGAAAAGGG
Monodelphis domestica (gray short-tailed opossum) is the source of this 640-nucleotide long non-coding RNA. RefSeq lists it as uncharacterized. The record is from RefSeq and is a predicted model, not a curated record. Lineage: Eukaryota; Metazoa; Chordata; Mammalia; Didelphimorphia; Didelphidae.